CCUACGGUGGCAACAGUGGGGAAUAUUGCACAAUGGGGGGAACCCUGAUGCAGCGACGCCGCGUGAGUGAAGAAGUAUUUCGGUAUGUAAAGCUCUAUCAGCAGGGAAGAAAAUGACGGUACCUGACUAAGAAGCCCCGGCUAACUACGUGCCAGCAGCCGCGGUAAUACGUAGGGGGCAAGCGUUAUCCGGAUUUACUGGGUGUAAAGGGAGCGCAGACGGCUGUGCAAGUCUGGAGUGAAAGGCGGGGGCCCAACCCCCGGACGGCUCUGGAAACUGUAAAGCUGGAGUGCAGGAGAGGUAAGCGGAAUUCCUAGUGUAGCGGUGAAAUGCGUAGAGAUUAGGAGGAACACCAGGGGCGAAGGCGGCAUACUGGACUGCAACUGACGGUGAGGCUCGAAAGCGUGGGGAGCAAACAGGAUUAGAUACCCCAGUAGUC
This 439-nucleotide ribosomal RNA is filed under the name uncultured bacterium. Its description in RNAcentral is "partial 16S ribosomal RNA". It matches the Rfam family "Bacterial small subunit ribosomal RNA", at positions 338 to 795 of the family's 1533-position model. The record is from RNAcentral.